Molecule: transfer RNA, 74 nt
Filed under: Heterotis niloticus (African bonytongue)
Lineage: Eukaryota; Metazoa; Chordata; Actinopteri; Osteoglossiformes; Osteoglossidae
Description: tRNA-Lys
Rfam family: tRNA
About the family: Transfer RNA (tRNA) molecules are approximately 80 nucleotides in length.
Source: RNAcentral
CACUAAGAAGCUAAAUAGGAAACAGCGUUAGCCUUUUAAGCUAAAGAAUGGUGAACUCCACCCACCCUUAGUGA